RNAcentral lists this long non-coding RNA (580 nucleotides) under Bemisia tabaci. Its description in RNAcentral is "lncRNA ENSSSA3NGG012967". Lineage: Eukaryota; Metazoa; Arthropoda; Insecta; Hemiptera; Aleyrodidae. The record is from RNAcentral.
UCCUUAAAAUCUGCUCGGAUAUAAUCAUUCAAAUGUAGAUGAAUAUUUACAUGCACUCUUUCUGAAAGCAGAAGGAGCUAAGAUUUAAUUAUUUCUGUCUUUGCAGGCUGUGAAGCUUGUAAUGAGGGCUGGGCCAUGACAGCAGAAAAUGGAUGUGUGGAUGUCAACGAAUGUGUUCUGCCAGAUGUUUGUAACACAAUCAAUUUUGUGUCAACGAAGAGGGCAAUUACUCUUGUAUUGAAUGUGACGCAGCGUGUUCUGGCUGCUAUGGCGAUGGGCCCGAUAUGUGCAUCAAAUGCGCCCCUGGCUAUUUUCUGCAAGAUAAUUUCUGCGUUGUAGAAGAUUUCUUUGAUGGAUCGUCUAACCAUUUGUGUCAUCUGAGCGAUUACUGGUCAUUUCUGCGGCAUGAUUCCUAUUGUCCCAACCUCUGAACUAGAUCAGUAUUUUGCUUGGACCGUAGAUCUUUUAAUUCUGUGUGAGGUAUUUGGUCCUUUUAUUUUCUCAUAUUUAAUUUUUUCAUUUUCCAUUUUAAUUUCUCUACAUAUUUGGGUAUUUUAUUUUAUUGCUUGUUUUUAAUCAU